UUGUCCUUCUUACUCUUCCUGGAACAAAGGCCUGCAUGGAGCCAUUUGCACUGAUGCUUCCAAAGAUGAGGGUCCCAAAGCUGUAAGAGAGAAAACUACUUGAGCAGAGGCCCUGGCUGGGCUGGUGGCCCCAAGGCUGACUGCGGUGUGUGCUCCUCCCUCAGGAGGCCAUUGCCUUGCUUGACAUCUCCUGGGCAAGUCUCCACGGAACCUCUUAUCAAGCUCCAAAGUCAUCUUCUUCCACAAAAAUGUCACAGAGCCCUUUCAUGGUAACAGCUGCAUGUGCCUAUUAAGGUGUGGUCAAGUAUGAAGCAAACCCCUUUAACAGG
Long non-coding RNA from Symphalangus syndactylus (siamang), 329 nucleotides. RefSeq lists it as uncharacterized. The record is from RefSeq and is a predicted model, not a curated record. Lineage: Eukaryota; Metazoa; Chordata; Mammalia; Primates; Hylobatidae.